This 253-nucleotide ribosomal RNA is filed under the name uncultured bacterium. RNAcentral describes it as "partial 16S ribosomal RNA". It matches the Rfam family "Bacterial small subunit ribosomal RNA", at positions 524 to 776 of the family's 1533-position model. The record is from RNAcentral.
UACGAAGGGGGCUAGCGUUGUUCGGAAUUACUGGGCGUAAAGGGCGCGUAGGCGGUCUUGUAAGUCAGAUGUGAAAGCCCCGGGCUCAACCCGGGAAUAGCAUUUGAUACUGCGAGGCUUGAGUCCGGGAGAGGAUGGCGGAAUUCCCAGUGUAGAGGCGAAAUUCGUAGAUAUUGGGAAGAACACCGGUGGCGAAGGCGGCCAUCUGGACCGGCACUGACGAUGAGGCGCGAAAGCGUGGGGAGCAAACAGG